ACAGAUGGUCGCUGCACAUUUGUGAUGAAUGUGGAGAGGAAAGUCCGAGCAUCUAAAGAACAUGGUGCCAGUUAACGGCUGGUGAAGGCGACUUCAAGGAAAGUGCAACAGAAAUAGACUUCCACGAAAGUGGUAAAGGUGGAAAGGUAGGGCAAGAGCCUACCGGGGUGCUGGCAACAGCGCUCGCUCUGUAAACCCCACUUGAUGCAAGGUUAAGUCUUUCGCACAUGUGUGUUCUUUCACGCGAAAGCAAAAAUACCGCUUGAACUUGUUGGCGACAGCAAGUCUGGAUAGAUGACCAUCCAAGACAGAACUCGGCUUACAGUUUGGCUGG
This 334-nucleotide RNase P RNA is filed under the name chicken gut metagenome. RNAcentral describes it as "Bacterial RNase P class A". It matches the Rfam family "Bacterial RNase P class A". From Rfam's summary of the family: Ribonuclease P (RNase P) is a ubiquitous endoribonuclease, found in archaea, bacteria and eukarya as well as chloroplasts and mitochondria. Its best characterised activity is the generation of mature 5'-ends of tRNAs by cleaving the 5'-leader elements of precursor-tRNAs. Cellular RNase Ps are ribonucleoproteins. The record is from RNAcentral.